UACAGAGGGUGCAAACGUUGUUCGGAAUUACUGGGCGUAAAGCGAGUGUAGGCGGUUUGGAUAGUCGGAUGUGAAAGCCCCGGGCUCAACCCGGGAAGUGCAUUCGAUACUCCCAAGCUAGAGUAUCGGAGAGGUUGGUGGAAUUCUCGGUGUAGAGGUGAAAUUCGUAGAUAUCGAGAGGAACACCGGUGGCGAAGGCGGCCAACUGGACGAAUACUGACGCUGAGACUCGAAAGCGUGGGGAGCAAACAGG
RNAcentral lists this ribosomal RNA (253 nucleotides) under uncultured bacterium. RNAcentral describes it as "partial 16S ribosomal RNA". It matches the Rfam family "Bacterial small subunit ribosomal RNA", at positions 524 to 776 of the family's 1533-position model. The record is from RNAcentral.